CAUAGUAAGGGUUGAUAGACUGAGAGCUCUUUCAAGAUUCUAUGGAUGGUGGUGCAUGACUGUUCUUAGUUGGUAGAGUGAUUUGUCUGGUUAAUUUCGAGAAGAAAAAACUAAUUAAAGUGAAAGAAGCUAAUUAACAAAUAUUAGUUGAAAGAUUAUUAUCCCUCUUGGGGAAUUAACAAGGAGCGUCCUGGUUUAAUUUUCCUUUUGCUUAUCUUAGGGAGACCACAUCAGUCAAAAGAGUUGUAUACUUU
Molecule: non-coding RNA, 254 nt
Filed under: Ipomoea nil (Japanese morning glory)
Lineage: Eukaryota; Viridiplantae; Streptophyta; Magnoliopsida; Solanales; Convolvulaceae
Description: Eukaryotic small subunit ribosomal RNA
Rfam family: Eukaryotic small subunit ribosomal RNA
Source: Rfam by way of RNAcentral